This is a long non-coding RNA of Humulus lupulus (European hop), 976 nucleotides long. RefSeq lists it as uncharacterized. The transcript is spliced from 4 exons. The record is from RefSeq and is a predicted model, not a curated record. NCBI's taxonomy places the organism in Eukaryota, Viridiplantae, Streptophyta, Magnoliopsida, Rosales, Cannabaceae.
GUCGGCCUAGAGGGAAGAAGAGAGAGAGAGAGUGGCAAGCUAGAGAGAGAAAGGGAGAGAGGGGCUGCCAUUUUCUAGAGAGAAGGAGGAAAGAAAGAAGGAGAAGGAGGAGAAAGGAAAGGGGUUUCAAAGCUCUAGGAUUUUGAGCAAGGAGGUGGUUCUAGUUUGGGUUCUUGAUUUCUAUCAAGAAAGACUCGUUGUGAAGUUGUCAAUUGUGCUUUGCUUGGACCUGAGCGUGAUGAGCGCGACACUACAAUAAGGGGUUACUAAGGAUAUGAAGACGUAACCCGAGUUACUAAGGAUAUGAAGACGUAACUCACAGGGCGAACGCGCCGAGGUUAUUCAAGGACCAAAGAUCUUGUUUACCUCAAGAGGUGACAUGGACAAGUUAGCGGGUCAUGUUCACAAAGCCAUGAUGUUAUGUUUAUGAUGUUAUGAUGAUGAUGACCAUGUGUAUGAUGCCUAUGUUUUGAUGAUUAUGUAUAAGUUUAUAAUGAUGAUAGUUACGAUAAUGAUGCUAUGAUGUAUGACGAUGUAUGAGUAUGAAUAUAUUUUGUCGUGUUUUGCUUAUGUGUUAUUUGUACUUCCUUACUGGGCUUUUAGCUCACCCCCUUACUUUCCCUUCCAAGUAGCAAAUAGGUUUUCUCUUUGGCACGCGUGGUGAUGUGAGGAGUUCUAUCGUCAGGGUGUGUAUGGCGUGGGGGCAUCCUAUGGACAAGAAAUGAUCAAUUAAACGCCAUUUUCUACAGAAUAAUGUUAUGUUUAUUUUUAACUUUUAGAACUUAUUAGUGGGACUUGAACUUUAAUUAUUUUUAAAACGUUGCAUGAAAACUAUUAUUUUUCUUUUAAACUAUUGGGCCCAACUUGCAUGUUUUAGCAAGGCCCCACUUGGAUUUUUUUUUUAUAAUAAGUAGCUUUUCUUUUGUAAACUUAUGUGCAUGCAAAUAUUUUACAAAGUAUUAGAUUAGGACGUUUU